GAAGCACAGAGAGACAGGUAGACAGAGGUAGGUAGGUAGAUAGAUAGAUAGAUAGAUAGGUAGGUACGUAGAUAGGUGAGAAGAUAGGUAGAGAGAUAUGUAGAUAGAGAGAUAGAAAGAUAGAUAGAUAGAUAGAUAGGUAGGUACGUAGAUAGGUAAGAAGAUAGGUAGAGAGAUAUGUAGAUAGAGAGAUAGAAAGAUAGGUAGAUUGAUAGAUAGAUAGAUAGAUAGGUAGAGAGAUAUGUAGAUAGAGAGAUAGAAAGAUAGAUAGAUAGAUAGGUACGUAGAUAGGUAAGAAGAUAGGUAUAGAGAUAUGUAGAUAGAUAGAUAGACAGAUAGAUAGAUUUAUUGACCACACACACACACACACACACACACACACACACACACACACACACAC
Eriocheir sinensis (Chinese mitten crab) is the source of this 400-nucleotide long non-coding RNA. RefSeq lists it as uncharacterized. The transcript has 2 exons. The record is from RefSeq and is a predicted model, not a curated record. NCBI's taxonomy places the organism in Eukaryota, Metazoa, Arthropoda, Malacostraca, Decapoda, Varunidae.